UACGUAGGGUGCAAGCGUUGUCCGGAAUUAUUGGGCGUAAAGAGCUCGUAGGCGGUUCGUCGCGUCGGCUGUGAAAACCCGGAGCUCGACUCCGGGCCUGUAGUCGAUACGGCGGGACGUUGAGUUCGGCAGGGGAGACUGGAAUUCCUGGUGUAGCGGUGAAAUGCGCAGAUAUCAGGAGGAACACCGAUGGCGAAGGCAGGUCUCUGGGCCACUACUGACGCUGAGAAGCGAAAGCAUGGGGAGCGAACAGG
Molecule: ribosomal RNA, 254 nt
Filed under: uncultured bacterium
Lineage: Bacteria
Description: partial 16S ribosomal RNA
Rfam family: Bacterial small subunit ribosomal RNA
Source: RNAcentral